Molecule: non-coding RNA, 579 nt
Filed under: unclassified sequences
Description: ROOL RNA
Rfam family: ROOL RNA
About the family: Firmicutes, Fusobacteria (1 example), Tenericutes (1 example). Environment (Cow rumen (57))
Source: Rfam by way of RNAcentral
ACAUUUAAUUCUACACUUUUGUACCCAAGUGUAGAGGUCGGUCAGGCUUGCUUGGAACUUCUGAACAUUUAGAUUGAUUUAUGAGUGAUAGCUUAUAGAGAAGUCUAUCAUGGUGUAGUAAUACAUUAUGAGAAGAACGUGUUGUUCAACAAUAAGGGAGUGUGCAAAGGGUAAGUAGGUUAUAAGGUAGAAUCAUCGCCUCGCUCAUACAAUAGACGCCUCGGUGAGGAAUAAUCCAGAAAUCCCUUUAGUUGGUGACUGUGGGGCAAAUCGGGAAAUGCCAAUAAGUGAGUAUCGCGUAUAAUCCAGAGAGAAAUCUUUGGGUAAGAGGUCAGGUUCGUAAGAGUAGCAGAACGCGAGAGCAUUUUAGAAAAAUGAACUUGUUUGAAGAGUUUGGUUUCAUAUGCGAAUGGUCUGUGAAAUUUGGGAGUAAAAAGAAUCUCUCAUACACACGGCACAAAGUGUGGGCUGUAAUGGUUAUCGAAGACGUUUGAUAGCUUCGCUUACAGUUCUGUAGUGACUGAAUAAUAAUUGAUUAUCCAAUGUAGGGUGAAAGUCCACAAAAGUGUAGAAUUAAGU